UAUCCGAGGAAGACUCCUCACUGCCUGA
Molecule: small RNA, 28 nt
Filed under: Bombyx mori (domestic silkworm)
Lineage: Eukaryota; Metazoa; Arthropoda; Insecta; Lepidoptera; Bombycidae
Description: ovarian small RNA-23591
Source: RNAcentral